CAAUGAGUGUUUAAUGGCACUUUAAAUCCAUUACCCACCUUGUGUGCACUGUAGGGAAGGGGCAGUUCGCAUGCGCUACAUGUGCUGCACUGCCCCUUUCAUCAUAUACAUACCUAUCUUCUUACUUGUCUACUUCAACUGAGUAUAAAAACUCGAAUA
This 159-nucleotide unclassified non-coding RNA is filed under the name uncultured fungus. Its description in RNAcentral is "sequence contains ITS1". The record is from RNAcentral. Lineage: Eukaryota; Fungi.